This 419-nucleotide ribosomal RNA is filed under the name Salmonella enterica subsp. enterica serovar Virchow. RNAcentral's name for it is "bacterial SSU rRNA". It matches the Rfam family "Bacterial small subunit ribosomal RNA", at positions 1127 to 1533 of the family's 1533-position model. RNAcentral also lists the same sequence under 2 other names. Lineage: Bacteria; Pseudomonadati; Pseudomonadota; Gammaproteobacteria; Enterobacterales; Enterobacteriaceae. The record is from RNAcentral.
UAGGUCGGGAACUCAAAGGAGACUGCCAGUGAUAAACUGGAGGAAGGUGGGGAUGACGUCAAGUCAUCAUGGCCCUUACGACCAGGGCUACACACGUGCUACAAUGGCGCAUACAAAGAGAAGCGACCUCGCGAGAGCAAGCGGACCUCAUAAAGUGCGUCGUAGUCCGGAUUGGAGUCUGCAACUCGACUCCAUGAAGUCGGAAUCGCUAGUAAUCGUGGAUCAGAAUGCCACGGUGAAUACGUUCCCGGGCCUUGUACACACCGCCCGUCACACCAUGGGAGUGGGUUGCAAAAGAAGUAGGUAGCUUAACCUUCGGGAGGGCGCUUACCACUUUGUGAUUCAUGACUGGGGUGAAGUCGUAACAAGGUAACCGUAGGGGAACCUGCGGUUGGAUCACCUCCUUACCUUAAAGAAGC